AUCGAAACCAUAAAUUUUUUACACAAUAGAAUUAUAUAUAAUUAAUAGAAUAUAUUUUUAUAUUUUAGUCUAUGAUCUAAACGAGUCGCACAUACACCCUAGUACAUGUUCCUCGGCGCUGAGGGCAUCCCCGAAGAGCGGGAGAUUUGGUGACAUUUCGGAUUGGCUGUCUUGCGUUUCUAAUAAGUUGUUUUAUAGUUGGCAUGGUGAGUCAUAUACAUAAUUAGCCGGUUUAGAUCAAUCCUAACCCGAUGAUUAUGAAUUAUUUAGAUUCGAUUAAAUCGGGUUAGUAAGACGAUUAAAUCAGGUUAGUAAGACGAUUAAAUCCGGUUAGGAUCUGGAAGACGAUUAAAUCAGGUUAGGAAGCAAGCAGGUUAGGAAGACGAUUAAAUUCAGGUUAGGAAGACGAUUAAAAAGAGAAAAUUUAAUCUCAAAUCUUGUAGUUAUCAGGAAUCCUUUCUGCUCUUUUUUUAUUCACAAAGAAUCCGCUACCAUAUCAACAAGUCCGUAGGCUUGAGCUUCUUCUGCUGACAUAAAAAGAUCCCUUUCCAUGUCUUUGGAUAUCUGCCAUGAAGGUUUGCCUGUUCUUUGUGCAUAAAUAUUUGUGAGUUGUCUUGCAUUUCUAACAAGUUGUUUUAUAGUUGGCAUGGUGAUUCAUAUACAUAAUUAGCUGGUUUAGAUCAAUCCUAACCCGAUGAUUAUGAAUUAUUUAGAUUCGAUUAAAUCAGGUUAGUAAGACGAUUAAA
RNAcentral lists this long non-coding RNA (746 nucleotides) under Cicer arietinum (chickpea). RNAcentral's name for it is "long non-coding RNA (CARI_LNC003661)". The record is from RNAcentral. Lineage: Eukaryota; Viridiplantae; Streptophyta; Magnoliopsida; Fabales; Fabaceae.